Molecule: long non-coding RNA, 3059 nt
Filed under: Nicotiana benthamiana
Lineage: Eukaryota; Viridiplantae; Streptophyta; Magnoliopsida; Solanales; Solanaceae
Description: long non-coding RNA (NBEN_LNC037333)
Source: RNAcentral
AAAUAUCCUUAAUAAUAACUAAAGUUCAUACAAAUUAACAUACUUCAAGGUCCAAAAUGAUAUUAAAAUGCAUAUAGCUAAUACAAUUAAGUUUGAAUUAUCCGCAACACCAAUAAUAAAGUUCAAACCAAAAAAGUGUGAUUUAUCCCUAACACCAACAAUAAAGUUCAAAACGUAAAGCUUUCAAACCAAAAAGAUGUAAAUCAUCCCUAACACCAAUAAUAACGUUCAGAACAAAAAUCUUCCAAAUACGAGGCUUAGGGGUUAAGGUCAUCAUCUGAAACCGAUGGAUGAACUCCAUGAACAGCUUCCUAUAAUAUUUCCUGAUACAUUUGCUGUAAAAGAGGUUUAAUAAGUAGUAAAAUUAAAACAGUUAAGAAUGUUGAGCAUUUAAUUAACAACAUUAAUAUCUUAUUUAUAACAGUUAAUACACUUCCUACAUUCAUGUUGCCACGCUUCAAACAAGGCCUAAGUUAAGCUUCUGUCCCUGUCAGCAGUGAAUGACAAUCGAGUAGAUUAAAUUAGGGUCACGCGUUUUUUUCAUUUCCAAAAUUUAGGCAGCAAAAGUUAGUUUCAAUUCUCUCAAGACUUCCUCUCAAAUUCAUCUACUACAUUUCGGUUACUGAGAGUGCUGCGAUUGUGAUAAAUAAUACACAUUGUUUCUAUCCAUGAUAAAUUGUUCUAGUCGUUGAUAACACACAUAACAUGCUUCUUUCAGAAAAGUUUCACGUCGUCAUAUUUUUCUGCUUCACAGCCUAAAUAGCAUUCUAAGCCACUAAACAUGUUCAGUGACGAACUCGUGCGUAGCCAUAGUAAUGUUUGCUUCGAAAUUGAGACUAUAACACCACCACCUUAUUAUGACACUAAAUCUCAUACAUAUUGCAAGAAGAUUGAAGAAAUGAGGUUAUGCUACAUAUUUAACCAUACACUCAACACAUAAUAAUACCAAUUGGUGGAAUUUGUAUUUGGAUUAAAAAAAUAAUCAAGCUACCAGCUAUACAUAUCAGAUAAACAUGGUGAAGAAGACAGUACCUGAGAUUCUGCAAUAGUCAGAACCAUGGAAAGAAUCAUGGGUUGCAUUACCACAUUCCGGAGCUCAGCACAUAGUGGAGGAAAAACCUGAAUCAUAAUACAAAUAUGAUAAGUUCUCCAACCAUUUAGAAUUGCAAAAGCAAUUAAUAGAGUAAAGUAGCUGAAUAUUUACCUCAGCUGUAAAGAGAUGGAACCAUGAAUUUAUUGUUGAGUUUAUUAUAUAUACAGAACCGAGAUAAACGAAUUACUAAUUAAGAUUCGCAAUUAUAUGGAGAACUCUGAAAACCAUGUGUUGCAGCUGGACUGUAGACCUUAUUAAACUUGAAUGACCUACGGCCUUCCUUUCCUUGUUUGGAAGGAUUUACAACAAUAAGCUCCACAUUUUCUUUAAUUUAUUCAACAACUGAUUGUUUUUCCUUUUGUCCACGAAGGAAGCCUAAUUCGACAACAUACUCUGAUAUUUUCUAAUUGAAAAAUAACCAUGAGUAAAUGAAAAAGAAAGGUAAUAAAUUUCAGUUCUCAAAUUUAUUAGAACUUCAUUAUAUUAUCGCACCUUUUAGCUCCUGCACCUCAUUGUGCAAUUUGCGAUUCUCAGCAAUGACUGCGGAGUAGUUAGCAGCUGCAUGUCCUAGCUCUCUAACUUUUUCACAUGCAGUAGAAAUUUUAUUCCAUAUAGGAAAUCCAUUUAAGUCAAUAUUAAAACCUGUGCUGAUAUGUUAUGCUUGUAUUGCAAUCAAUAAACGACGUUAUUAUAACCCUUCAAGAAGCUGAACUAACCUAUUUGAUUGAAUUCCUCUGCAUAGCUCUUUUGUGCUUUUACAAUUUCCUGACUUAUUAACUGAGAAGAAAACCUUAGUUCCUGAACAUUCAUCGAGGUUAAAUUCACACGUGCUACAACACUGACAUUUCAGAAAAAAGUAAGAAAAGAGAUCAAGCAUACACGAAGUGCGCCUUGCUGGAAUUCUGUAAAUAUUUGGUAAAUAUGAUGCUUUUCAAGGCUGUAAUUAGAAUCAAAUACGUGUUAAUAAGUUGUUACCAUAACAACAACAUUCUAUUAUUUUUUUCCUCACACUUUUUCUCCCUUAUUCCAAUUUGUGAGUAAUUCAAGAAAAAGUAUCGUCUCUCUUUUGUACUUUUUUGCCAAAUCAUAGCUUCUUCAUUCUUUUUGAGUUUUCUCCCCUUUGGUCCCCCCCCCCAAAAAAAGUUCAAACCAAAAAAGUGUGAUUUAUCCCUAACACCAACAAUAAAGUUCAAAACGUAAAGCUUUCAAACCAAAAAGAUGUAAAUCAUCCCUAACACCAAUAAUAACGUUCAGAACAAAAAUCUUCCAAAUACGAGGCUUAGGGGUUAAGGUCAUCAUCUGUUACAUACAAAUAUAGUGAAAACCUAAUUAGUCACAUAAAAAAGAUCAUAUCUUGACAAAUAAACCAGAAACACAAGUCAAACCUUGAAAGAAAAGAACUUUUCAUACAAAAAAUCCCCCUUUUACAAUUAAAAUCUGAUAAAGCUCCUAGCCCUAGCUGCUCCAAAUUGAUGCAAAUAAAGUAAGAAGAAAACAAUUAAUUUGAAAAUGUUUGCUCACAUGCAGAGCAAUGAACAUAGUAUUCAUAGUCAUUAACACUGUCAUCAAGCUACUGAUUCAUAAGAAAAGAAGAAGAAACAAAUUAAUGCCAUCUACACACCUUAUAUUCACAUUGGAUACUAAUUUUUGCUUUUGUUCUUGCCGUCAAGUAUGUUUUCUAUUGAUUUUGCUCCCAGCCGCCCAUAUUUGCUCCUAGCGUUCUACACUGUUAGAAGAAGAAGAGACCGAAAUUUUACUAAUUUUGUGCCGUAGGGUAAAUAAUUAAGUGGUCUUCAGCGACGGAUUUAGCUACGGCUUAAUUUCCGUCGCUACUAAUGAUAUUUUUUUCGGCAGGAUAUAACAUUGUCUACGGAACUUUCCGUAGCAAGGAGCUUAAAAAAAAUGUGAUACAAAAAUUAAGCAUAGCGACGGAAAUUGCGUUGCUAAUUCCGCCGCUGAAGGUGAU